Long non-coding RNA from Astyanax mexicanus (Mexican tetra), 708 nucleotides. RefSeq lists it as uncharacterized. NCBI's taxonomy places the organism in Eukaryota, Metazoa, Chordata, Actinopteri, Characiformes, Acestrorhamphidae. The record is from RefSeq and is a predicted model, not a curated record. The transcript is spliced from 5 exons.
GUGUGUGAGUGGAUCAGAUACAGCAGUGAUUAGCAGUGAUUAGCAUGGUGGUGGUGUAUGAGGUGUUAGUGAGUGUUGAGCUGGUGGUACAGUGAGUGGAUCAGAUACAGCAGUGAUUAGCAGUGAUUAGCAUGGUGGUGGUGUAUGAGGUGUUAGUGAGUGUUGAGCUGGUGGUACAGUUAGUGGAUCAGAUACAGCAGUGAUUAGCAUGGUGGUGGUGUAUGAGGUGUUAGUGAGUGUUGAGCUGGUGGUACAGUGAGUGGAUCAGAUACAGCAGUGAUUAGCAUGGUGGUGGUGUAUGAGGUGUUAGUGAGUGUUGAGCUGGUGGUACAGUGAGUGGAUCAGAUACAGCAGUGAUUAGCACUGAUUAGCAUGGUGGUGGUGUAUGAGGUGUUAGUGUGUGUUGAGCUGGUGGUACAGUGAGUGGAUCAGAUACAGCAGUGAUUAGCACUGAUUAGCAUGGUGGUGGUGUAUGAGGUGUUAGUGUGUGUUGAGCUGGUGGUACAGUGAGUGGAUCAGAUACAGCAGUGAUUAGCACUGAUUAGCAUGGUGGUGGUGUAUGAGGUGUUAGUGUGUGUUGAGCUGGUGGUACAGUGAGUGGAUCAGAUACAGCAGUGAUUAGCACUGAUUAGCAUGGUGGUGGUGUAUGAGGUGUUAGUGUGUGUUGAGCUGGUGGUACAGUGAGUGGAUCAGAUACAGCAGUUAUUA